Molecule: ribosomal RNA, 528 nt
Filed under: uncultured bacterium
Lineage: Bacteria
Description: bacterial SSU rRNA
Rfam family: Bacterial small subunit ribosomal RNA
Source: RNAcentral
AGAGUUGAUCAUGGCUCAGAUUGAACGCUGGCGGCAGGCCUAACACAUGCAAGUCGAGCGGCAGCGGAAAGUAGCUUGCUACUUUGCCGGCGAGCGGCGGACGGGUGAGUAAUGUCUGGGAAACUGCCUGAUGGAGGGGGAUAACUACUGGAAACGGUAGCUAAUACCGCAUAACGUCGCAAGACCAAAGAGGGGGACCUUCGGGCCUCUUGCCAUCAGAUGUGCCCAGAUGGGAUUAGCUAGUAGGUGGGGUAACGGCUCACCUAGGCGACGAUCCCUAGCUGGUCUGAGAGGAUGACCAGCCACACUGGAACUGAGACACGGUCCAGACUCCUACGGGAGGCAGCAGUGGGGAAUAUUGCACAAUGGGCGCAAGCCUGAUGCAGCCAUGCCGCGUGUAUGAAGAAGGCCUUCGGGUUGUAAAGUACUUUCAGCGGGGAGGAAGGCGUUGAGGUUAAUAACCUCAGCGAUUGACGUUACCCGCAGAAGAAGCACCGGCUAACUCCGUGCCAGCAGCCGCGGUAAUAC